Molecule: ribosomal RNA, 741 nt
Filed under: Vreelandella aquamarina
Lineage: Bacteria; Pseudomonadati; Pseudomonadota; Gammaproteobacteria; Oceanospirillales; Halomonadaceae
Description: bacterial SSU rRNA
Rfam family: Bacterial small subunit ribosomal RNA
Source: RNAcentral
UGCAGUCGAGCGGUAACAGAUCCAGCUUGCUGGAUGCUGACGAGCGGCGGACGGGUGAGUAAUGCAUAGGAAUCUGCCCGAUAGUGGGGGAUAACCUGGGGAAACCCAGGCUAAUACCGCAUACGUCCUACGGGAGAAAGGGGGCUCCGGCUCCCGCUAUGGGAUGAGCCUAUGUCGGAUUAGCUAGUUGGUGAGGUAACGGCUCACCAAGGCCACGAUCCGUAGCUGGUCUGAGAGGAUGAUCAGCCACAUCGGGACUGAGACACGGCCCGAACUCCUACGGGAGGCAGCAGUGGGGAAUAUUGGACAAUGGGGGAAACCCUGAUCCAGCCAUGCCGCGUGUGUGAAGAAGGCCCUCGGGUUGUAAAGCACUUUCAGCGAGGAAGAACGCCUAGCGGUUAAUACCCGCUAGGAAAGACAUCACUCGCAGAAGAAGCACCGGCUAACUCCGUGCCAGCAGCCGCGGUAAUACGGAGGGUGCAAGCGUUAAUCGGAAUUACUGGGCGUAAAGCGCGCGUAGGUGGCUUGAUAAGCCGGUUGUGAAAGCCCCGGGCUCAACCUGGGAACGGCAUCCGGAACUGUCAAGCUAGAGUGCAGGAGAGGAAGGUAGAAUUCCCGGUGUAGCGGUGAAAUGCGUAGAGAUCGGGAGGAAUACCAGUGGCGAAGCGGCCUUCUGGACUGACACUGACACUGACGUGCGAAAGCGUGAGUAGCAAACAGGAUUAGAUACCCUGCUAGUCC